UGGGGAAUUUUGGACAAUGGGCGCAAGCCUGAUCCAGCAAUGCCGCGUGCAGGAUGAAGGCCUUCGGGUUGUAAACUGCUUUUGUACGGAACGAAAAGCCCUCUUCUAAUACAGGAGGGUCAUGACGGUACCGUAAGAAUAAGCACCGGCUAACUACGUGCCAGCAGCCGCGGUAAUACGUAGGGUGCAAGCGUUAAUCGGAAUUACUGGGCGUAAAGCGUGCGCAGGCGGUUUUGUAAGACAGAGGUGAAAUCCCCGGGCUCAACCUGGGAACUGCCUUUGUGACUGCAAGGCUAGAGUACGGCAGAGGGGGAUGGAAUUCCGCGUGUAGCAGUGAAAUGCGUAGAUAUGCGGAGGAACACCGAUGGCGAAGGCAAUCCCCUGGGCCUGUACUGACGCUCAUGCACGAAAGCGUGGGGAGCAAACAGG
RNAcentral lists this ribosomal RNA (429 nucleotides) under uncultured bacterium. RNAcentral's name for it is "bacterial SSU rRNA". It matches the Rfam family "Bacterial small subunit ribosomal RNA", at positions 355 to 776 of the family's 1533-position model. The record is from RNAcentral.